AGCAGUCGCCGCGGUAAUACGGAGGGAGCUAGCGUUGUUCGGAAUUACUGGGCGUAAAGCGCGCGUAGGCGGUUACUCAAGUCAGAGGUGAAAGCCCGGGGCUCAACCCCGGAACUGCCUUUGAAACUAGGUGACUAGAAUCUUGGAGAGGUCAGUGGAAUUCCGAGUGUAGAGGUGAAAUUCGUAGAUAUUCGGAAGAACACCAGUGGCGAAGGCGACUGACUGGACAAGUAUUGACGCUGAGGUGCGAAAGCGUGGGGAGCAAACAGGAUUAGAUACCCCCGUAGUCCCUGUCUCUUAUAC
Molecule: ribosomal RNA, 303 nt
Filed under: uncultured bacterium
Lineage: Bacteria
Description: partial 16S ribosomal RNA
Rfam family: Bacterial small subunit ribosomal RNA
Source: RNAcentral